AGGACGAACGCUGGCGGCGUGCCUAACACAUGCAAGUCGAACGAGGUCCAUCCGGUAGCAAUACUGGUGAAGAUCAAGUGGCGAACGGGUGAGUAGCACGUGAGCAACCUGCCCCGAAGACCGGGACAACACCGGGAAACCGGUGCUAAUACCGGAUAUCCCCACCGAGUCGCAUGGCUUGGUGAGGAAAUGGAUUCCGCUUCGGGAGGGGCUCGCGGCCUAUCAGCUUGUUGGUGAGGUAACGGCUCACCAAGGCUUCGACGGGUAGCUGGUCUGAGAGGACGAUCAGCCACACUGGGACUGAGACACGGCCAGACUCCUACGGGAGGCAGCAGUGGGGAAUCUUGCACAAUGGGCGAAAGCCUGAUGCAGCAACGCCGCGUGAGGGACGAAGGCUUUCUGAGUUGUAAACCUCUUUCAGCAGGGACGAUUGUGACGGUACCUGCAGAAGAACGCCCGGCAACUACGUGCCAGCAGCCGCGGUAAU
RNAcentral lists this ribosomal RNA (487 nucleotides) under uncultured bacterium. RNAcentral's name for it is "SSU rRNA". It matches the Rfam family "Bacterial small subunit ribosomal RNA", at positions 26 to 524 of the family's 1533-position model. The record is from RNAcentral.